UCCUUUAGCUGACAUAUUUGUAGAUAAUUGUUAAAACAUAUGAGGCAAGUAGAUAAUCAAAUAAAGUGAAUUUGUAAGACACUUUCUUUUCAUAAACAAAGUGAAUCUAUUAUUCUUUUUGCACGCACAGAGAAGGAACUCAUGCGCACAACGCACAAGAAGGAGUCAUGCAAACAUGAGUAGAGUCGUGCACACGGAAGUGUAAACAUGCACGCGUAUAGCAAUUCACACAUGUAGAAGCUUUUCUGUGCAUGGGAAGCAUGUAGCAUGGUGGGUAGAGGUCUUGAUACUGAGAUGGACUCUACUUUCUCCAUGUGGUUUAAUUCCAAAAUAACAUGGGAUAUUA
RNAcentral lists this long non-coding RNA (346 nucleotides) under Carica papaya (papaya). RNAcentral's name for it is "long non-coding RNA (CPAP_LNC010955)". The record is from RNAcentral. Lineage: Eukaryota; Viridiplantae; Streptophyta; Magnoliopsida; Brassicales; Caricaceae.